AGUAACAAUGAUAUUUUGUGAGAAACAUUGAACUAUGAACGUAGCUCAUAUGCAUUGAACCAAACGUGAUAUAUGGUCUUCUAAUUGGGAUACAUGCGAGUUGAGUACAUAUAACUAAGGCUGGCACAAUUACCAUACCACCAGGGAACCGACGGUUAUAGAUGAAGAUAGUUAUUGUAAUACAAUGACAAUCAUAACCAUUUAAAAAAAAUAUACAUUUGUUUUUCUUCAAAUUAACUGUUGAGUCUUUGUAGUAACAUGGACUGUUCCUGAAACUAGCAAACAAGUCUCCGGGUGGCCUAGACAAUGCUACCCACAAUGCAGCAGCAACACAGAGAAAUAGAGUAAAUAGAACAGGCUUGGAACCUCUAUUUACCAGGUUCCAAGCCUGUUCUAUUCAUUCUAUUUACCAGUCAUAUUACCAGGGUUAUAUGUUCUAUUCAUUCUAUUUACCAGUCAUAUUACCAGGGUUAUAGGUUCUAUUCAUUCUAUUUACCAGGGUUAGAGGUUCUAUUCAUUCUAUUUACCAGUCAUAUUACCAGGGUUAGAGUUUCUAUUCAUUCUAUUUACCAGUCAUAUUACCAGGGUUACAGGUUCUAUUCAUUCUAUUUACCAGUCAUAUUACCAGGGUUAGAGGUUCUAUUCAUUCUAUUUACCAGUCAUAUUACCAGGGUUAUAGGUUCUAUUCAUUCUAUUUACCAGGGUUAGAGGUUCUAUUCAUUCUAUUUACCAGUCAUAUUACCAGGGUUAGAGGUUCUAUUCAUUCUAUUUACCAGUCAUAUUACCAGGGUUAGAGGUUCUAUUCAUUCUAUUUACCAGGGUUAGAGGUUCUAUUCAUUCUAUUUACCAGGGUUAGAGGUUCUAUUCAUUCUAUUUACCAGUCAUAUUACCAGGGUUAGAGGUUCUAUUCAUUCUAUUUACCAGUCAUAUUACCAGGGUUACAGGUUCUAUUCAUUCUAUUUACCAGUCAUAUGACCAGGGUUAUAGGUUCUAUUCAUUCUAUUUACCAGUCAUAUUACCAGGGUUACAGGUUCUAUUCAUUCUAUUUACCAGUCAUAUUACCAGGGUUACAGGUUCUAUUCAUUCUAUUUACCAGUCAUAUUACAGGUUCUAUUCAUUCUAUUUACCAGGGUUAGAGGUUCUAUUCAUUAUAUUUACCAGUCAUAUUACCAGGGUUACAGGUUCCAAGACUGUUCUAUUCAUUCUAUUUACCAGUCAUAUUACAGGUUCUAUUCAUUCUAUUUACCAGGGUUAGAGGUUCUAUUCAUUCUAUUUACCAGUCAUAUUACCAGGGUUACAGUGGCCAAUGACUGGUAACCUCAUGUGUACACUCGCAAUGGCUGCCUGGUAUUGUGAUGCAAUCAUUUAAAUGGUAAUGUAGAAAGUUCAUUCAAAUGAUGCUUACUGAUGUGGCUCAUGCAACGGAAUGUAUUUUUUUGUAAUAGUUGAAUCAAAUCACAGCACAUAGAUGGGUACACUUCCUGCUUGCCCCUACGUGUCCACUCGCAAUGGCCACCACUUCACCCAUUAUAUCAUCAGUGUUAACAUUAACAAUAUCGAGUCGUCUGUAAAAACGUGUAACCUGCACCGGUAUGCAGAUGAUACUGUUGUGCCAUUGCUCCCACGGUUGACCAAGCUCAACAUUAUCUACGGUCUGCCUUCUUUUGUAUUACAGAAAAUCGCUGACCUUAAAUGAGUAUUGACUGCAGGUAAAACUAACUAGAUGGGGUCUCUAGAGUGCAUAUACAACUGAUGAUUUAAGCUGAUGGUGUUCAUAUCGGGAUAGAUCAAAGGCUAGCAGUCUUUUAAAAAGCAUAUUGACGAGUUAAGAAGCUGAGAAUAAAUAUGGGCUUUAUAGAAAUAGGUGCUGCCUCUAGUUAAACAGUAGAAGGCAGAUUAUGACGGUCGACAUGACCAUCGGUCCUAGACUAUGGCGACAUGUAUAUGAACGCAGCUGCCACUUCAUUAAAGCCGUUAGAUGCUGUUUAACAAAGCACACUGCACAUUGUUAUGGGGGACAAUUUUAGUACUCAUCACUGCAUUCACUACCAGAAAGUAGUGGUCCUUCUGUAGCUCAGUUGGUAGAGCAUGGCGCUUGUAACGCCAGGGUAGUGGGUUCGAUUCCCGGGACCACCCAUACAUAGAAUGUAUGCACACAUGACUGUAAGUCGCUUUGGAUAAAAGCGUCUGCUAAAUGGCAUAUAUUAUUAAUAUAUUGCUAUGUCUCCAUUUAUAAAGACAUUUGACAUAAAGUCCCACUGUAUCUAACAUCUUUACUAAACUUCAGACGAGUCACCACAGCCGGUCUUAGACAACCGCCAAGUCCGGAAAUUCCUUUCGUCUCUACGGACUAAUUGGCCUGAAUUUCUUGCACCUUAUUUGUGUAACAAUCUUCUAAAAUGUUCUUACAUUUGAUGUUUUGUUGCUUCUUGGGUAAUUCAGAAACUCGAUUGAGGACCUUAUUACCGAUGAAUGUGGGGGGGGGGGUUAGUGGCCAAUUACUGCCAUCCUAAAGUCCAUGACAGUCACAACCCUAUCUAGUUAUUGAUCAGAUAUAAUAGUUCCGAUGACAUGUGCUGUUAGGGUUUCUUCAUCAGCCAACCAACCAUAAGGUCAAAAUGCCCCCAGUGUAACCAUUCAACUUGCUGUCUGGCUAACGCUUUAUUAGCCUGUUAGCUGGCAAGACGGUUAAUAUAACACAUGCUAUCUGGAGUCUGUCAAUUGUUAACAACUAAAGCUUCAGGAACUACAACAUUGUAUGUUUGGCCAAGUUCCUAACAGAUAUAUACGGGCGACUUUGACAGUUUGUAAAAACGUGUAAACACGUGUUGCACUAAGCCCAGACUGCGCCAUGCGUUCAC
This is a long non-coding RNA of Oncorhynchus keta (chum salmon), 2861 nucleotides long. RefSeq lists it as uncharacterized. Lineage: Eukaryota; Metazoa; Chordata; Actinopteri; Salmoniformes; Salmonidae. The record is from RefSeq and is a predicted model, not a curated record. The transcript is spliced from 3 exons.